AGCAGCCGCGGUAAUUCCAGCUCCAAUAGCGUAUAUUAAAGUUGUUGCAGUUAAAAAGCUCGUAGUUGAAUUUCGGGAUCAAUAUGCCGGUCAUGCCUUGGUAUGCACUGGUAUCUUUGAUUUCUCCCUUCUGACGAACUUUGAUGUCAUUAAUUUGGUGUCAUAGGGAAUCAGGACUGUUACUUUGAAAAAAUUAGAGUGUUUAAAGCAAGCUCACGCUUGAAUACAUUAGCAUGGAAUAAUGAAAUAGGACGUUUGAUUCUAUUUUGUUGGUUUCUAGGAUCGACGUAAUGAUUAAUAGGGAUAGUUGGGGGCAUUAGUAUUCAAUUGUCAGAGGUGAAAUUCUUGGAUUUAUUGAAGACUAACUACUGCGAAAGCAUUUGCCAAGGAUGUUUUCAUUAAUCAAGAACGAAAGUUAGGGGAUCGAAGACGAUCAGAUACCGUCGUAGUCUUAACCAUAAACUAUGCCGACUAGGGAUCGGAUGAUGUUAAUUUUUUAAUGACUCA
RNAcentral lists this ribosomal RNA (507 nucleotides) under uncultured Glomeromycotina. RNAcentral's name for it is "SSU rRNA". It matches the Rfam family "Eukaryotic small subunit ribosomal RNA", at positions 569 to 1078 of the family's 1831-position model. The record is from RNAcentral. Lineage: Eukaryota; Fungi; Glomeromycota.